UGAUUUCUGAUGGAUUCUUUAAUUAAAUAUAUUUUUUUUUCCCCCUUCCUGCCAAUUCUACGGAUCUACCUUUCAGUUUAGUGGCAAUACCCUUAAAUUACUCUGCCAACUGCCAGUAAAAUCAAAAGAAGACUUUGUGUGAUCAACUUCUUUGGUAAAUUAUUUCUGAGUUUAAGGUUAGUGCUUCUGCUGAUCUGUUCUCCAAGAGAGUCCACACAUCCACUGUGCCACUAUGGGGCAGCAGCCAAAGUAGAGGGACUUCCUUCUCCCCCAGCAACUUGGGAAAGGGCAAAUGGGUCCUAGGUGAGGGCUCAGACAAAGUGCAGCCCGAAGACUCCUUUCAUUUGCCACAAUGGCAAUCAAUUUGUGGCAAAUGGACCUGCAUCUGUCCCCUUGCCUGGAUGUGGUUUCACCAUGGCCCCUCUCUGGAGCCAGGCCUGGAGGUGAGGCAUGUUGGUGAGUGCCUGGGUUUCCCACAUGGAGCCUGGGCAGCCACAGCCCAAAGAAAAGAUGUGGGUUCCUCUUCCAUGGGCUAAUCACCUGUGGGUGGGUCCAAAGAGGAAGGGUGCAAUGUGGGAUCGGUGGUGGCCAAUGGAGAGGACUUUGGUGGUCUGAUCCUUCACGAUGGAAGCGCCAAGAUCUCUCUAACAUCCCACUGUUGCUCCUUGCUGCUCAAUUAUGUCUGGUCAUCAUUCACUUUCCUGCUCCAAUCUCCUUGGUCUGUGCUUGGGUAUCGCCAACUUCCAACUAGAAUCUUUCUGGAACAUGACUUGUGCUGAAGGCUCUCCUCCUUCCCCUCAACAUAAGCCUUCAACCUCUGGAGCCAUCUCUGUGCACAUUCUUGUAAAUAAACUUCACUAAACUUUGUGUGAGUCA
Molecule: long non-coding RNA, 876 nt
Organism: Poecilia latipinna (sailfin molly)
Lineage: Eukaryota; Metazoa; Chordata; Actinopteri; Cyprinodontiformes; Poeciliidae
Exons: 2
Source: RefSeq, a predicted model, not a curated record